This 501-nucleotide ribosomal RNA is filed under the name uncultured bacterium. Its description in RNAcentral is "partial 16S ribosomal RNA". It matches the Rfam family "Bacterial small subunit ribosomal RNA", at positions 30 to 523 of the family's 1533-position model. The record is from RNAcentral.
AUUGAACGCUGGCGGCAGGCUUAACACAUGCAAGUCGAGCGGAGCGAGGGUGCUUGCACCUUAGCUUAGCGGCGGACGGGUGAGUAAUGCUUAGGAAUCUGCCUAUUAGUGGGGGACAACAUUCCGACAGGAAUGCUAAUACCGCAUACGCCCUACGGGGGAAAGCAGGGGAUCUUCGGACCUUGCGCUAAUAGAUGAGCCUAAGGCGGAUUAGCUAGUUGGUGGGGUAAAGGCCUACCAAGCCGACGAUCUGUAGCGGGUCUGAGAGGAUGAUCCGCCACACUGGGACUGAGACACGGCCCAGACUCCUACGGGAGGCAGCAGUGGGGAAUAUUGGACAAUGGGCGGAAGCCUGAUCCAGCCAUGCCGCGUGUGUGAAGAAGGCCUUUUGGUUGUAAAGCACUUUAAGCGAGGAGGAGGCUACUUAGAUUAAUACUCUGGGAUAGUGGACGUUACUCGCAGAAUAAGCACCGGCUAACUCUGUGCCAGCCGCCGCCGUAA